This 253-nucleotide ribosomal RNA is filed under the name uncultured bacterium. RNAcentral describes it as "partial 16S ribosomal RNA". It matches the Rfam family "Bacterial small subunit ribosomal RNA", at positions 524 to 776 of the family's 1533-position model. The record is from RNAcentral.
UACGAAGGGUGCAAGCGUUACUCGGAAUUACUGGGCGUAAAGCGUGCGUAGGUGGUGAGUUAAGUCUGUCGUGAAAGCCCCGGGCUCAACCUGGGAAUGGUGAUGGAUACUGGCUCGCUAGAGUGCGGUAGAGGAGAGUGGAAUUCCCGGUGUAGCAGUGAAAUGCGUAGAGAUCGGGAGGAACAUCAGUUGCGAAGGCGGCUCUCUGGACCAGCACUGACACUGAGGCACGAAAGCGUGGGGAGCAAACAGG